Molecule: ribosomal RNA, 253 nt
Filed under: uncultured bacterium
Lineage: Bacteria
Description: partial 16S ribosomal RNA
Rfam family: Bacterial small subunit ribosomal RNA
Source: RNAcentral
UACGUAGGCAGCGAGCGUUGUUCGGAGUUACUGGGCGUAAAGAGUGCGUAGGCGGUUUUCUAAGUUUGGUGUGAAAUCUCCCAGCUUAACUGGGAUAGGUUAUGCCAGACUGCUACUCUAGAGGACGAGAGAGGGGCGUGGAAUUCCGGGUGUAGUGGUGAAAUGCGUAGAGAUCCGGAGGAACCCCAGAGGCGAAGGCGACGCCCUGGCUCGUACCUGACGCUCAGCCACGAAAGCAUGGGGAGCGAACGGG